RNAcentral lists this ribosomal RNA (460 nucleotides) under uncultured bacterium. RNAcentral describes it as "partial 16S ribosomal RNA". It matches the Rfam family "Bacterial small subunit ribosomal RNA", at positions 338 to 795 of the family's 1533-position model. The record is from RNAcentral.
CCUACGGGUGGCAGCAGUGAGGAAUAUUGGUCAAUGGACGCAAGUCUGAACCAGCCAUGCCGCGUGCAGGAAGACGGCUCUAUGAGUUGUAAACUGUUUUUGUACGAGGGUAAACGCAGACACGCGUAUCUGUCUGAAAGUAUCGUACGAAUAAGGAUCGGCUAACUCAGUGCCAGCAGCCGCGGUAAUACGGAGGAUUCAAGCGUUAUCCGGAUUUAUUGGGUUUAAAGGGUGCGUAGGCGGUCAGAGAAGUUAGAGGUGAAAUCCCGAGGCUCAACCUCGGAAUUGCCUCUGAUACUGUACGGCUGGAGAGUAGAUGCGGUAGGCGGAAUGUAUGGUGUAGCGGUGAAAUGCUUAGAGAUCAUGCAGAACACCGAUUGCGAAGGCAGCUUACCAAGCUACUACUGACGUUGAGGCACGAAAGCGUGUGGAGCAAACAGGAUUAGAUACCCGAGUAGUC